UUAAUCUUCUUCCCAUCCCUGCUGUUUACAAAAUUAGGACCCUGCUUCUGUAAACAGCAGGGUCCUAAUUUUGUGAACAGCAGGGAUGGGAAAGUGGUAAUGUC
Molecule: microRNA precursor, 104 nt
Filed under: Haemonchus contortus (barber pole worm)
Lineage: Eukaryota; Metazoa; Nematoda; Chromadorea; Rhabditida; Trichostrongylidae
Description: microRNA hco-mir-5981 precursor
Source: miRBase by way of RNAcentral